GACGAACGCUGGCGGCAUGCCUUACACAUGCAAGUCGAACGGUAACGGGCCUUCGGGUGCCGACGAGUGGCGAACGGGUGAGUAAUGCAUCGGAACGUACCUUUCAGUGGGGGAUAACGUAGCGAAAGUUACGCUAAUACCGCAUAUUCUGUGAGCAGGAAAGCAGGGGAUCGCAAGACCUUGCGCUGAUUGAGCGGCCGAUGUCAGAUUAGCUAGUUGGUGAGGUAAAGGCUCACCAAGGCGACGAUCUGUAGCGGGUCUGAGAGGAUGAUCCGCCACACUGGAACUGAGACACGGUCCAGACUCCUACGGGAGGCAGCAGUGGGGAAUUUUGGACAAUGGGGG
This 345-nucleotide ribosomal RNA is filed under the name uncultured bacterium. Its description in RNAcentral is "bacterial SSU rRNA". It matches the Rfam family "Bacterial small subunit ribosomal RNA", at positions 28 to 377 of the family's 1533-position model. The record is from RNAcentral.